This 32-nucleotide non-coding RNA is filed under the name Homo sapiens (human). Lineage: Eukaryota; Metazoa; Chordata; Mammalia; Primates; Hominidae. The record is from RNAcentral.
UUUGCCAUCCAUAGGCAGCUGUGUUAGCCAGC